This 253-nucleotide ribosomal RNA is filed under the name uncultured bacterium. RNAcentral's name for it is "partial 16S ribosomal RNA". It matches the Rfam family "Bacterial small subunit ribosomal RNA", at positions 524 to 776 of the family's 1533-position model. The record is from RNAcentral.
UACGAACCGAGCGAACGUUAUUCGGAAUCACUGGGCUUAAAGGGUGCGUAGGCGGGCUGUCAAGUCUGGGGUGAAAUCCCACGGCUCAACCGUGGAACUGCCUCAGAUACUGAUGGCCUCGAGGAAGGUAGGGGCAUGCGGAACUGUAGGUGGAGCGGUGAAAUGCGUUGAUAUCUACAGGAACUCCGGUGGCGAAAGCGGCGUGCUGGACCUUUUCUGACGCUGAGGCACGAAAGCUAGGGGAGCAAACGGG